GAUGAACGCUAGCUCCAGGCUUAACACAUGCAAGUCGAGGGGCAGCGGGAUUGAAGCUUGCUUCAAUUGCCGGCGACCGGCGCACGGGUGAGUAACGCGUAUCCAACCUUCCGUACACUCAGGGAUAGCCUUUCGAAAGAAAGAUUAAUACCUGAUGGUAUGAUGAGAUUGCAUGAUAUCAUCAUUAAAGAUUUAUCGGUGUACGAUGGGGAUGCGUUCCAUUAGGUAGUAGGCGGGGUAACGGCCCACCUAGCCAACGAUGGAUAGGGGUUCUGAGAGGAAGGUCCCCCACAUUGGAACUGAGACACGGUCCAAACUCCUACGGGAGGCAGCAGUGAGGAAUAUUGGUCAAUGGACGAGAGUCUGAACCAGCCAAGUAGCGUGAAGGAUGAAGGUCCUACGGAUUGUAAACUUCUUUUAUAAGGGAAUAAACCCUCCCACGUGUGGGAGCUUGUAUGUACCUUAUGAAUAAGCAUCGGCUAACUCCGUG
This 490-nucleotide ribosomal RNA is filed under the name uncultured bacterium. RNAcentral's name for it is "partial 16S ribosomal RNA". It matches the Rfam family "Bacterial small subunit ribosomal RNA", at positions 28 to 507 of the family's 1533-position model. The record is from RNAcentral.